This 176-nucleotide ribosomal RNA is filed under the name Henriciella sp. RNAcentral's name for it is "partial 23S ribosomal RNA". It matches the Rfam family "Bacterial large subunit ribosomal RNA", at positions 2739 to 2925 of the family's 2925-position model. Lineage: Bacteria; Pseudomonadati; Pseudomonadota; Alphaproteobacteria; Hyphomonadales; Hyphomonadaceae. The record is from RNAcentral.
UGCAGGGUAGCUAUGUAUGGACGGGAUAACCGCUGAAUGCAUCUAAGCGGGAAACCCACCUCAAAACCAGGUUUCCCUUGAGAGCCGUUCUAGACUAGGACGUCGAUAGGCCAGGUGUGGAAGCGCUGCGAGGCGUGGAGCUUACUGGUACUAAUUGCUCGAUUGGCUUGAUCUUU